Molecule: microRNA, 20 nt
Filed under: Zea mays
Lineage: Eukaryota; Viridiplantae; Streptophyta; Magnoliopsida; Poales; Poaceae
Description: zma-miR482-3p
Gene: zma-miR482-3p
Source: miRBase by way of RNAcentral
UCUUCCUUGUUCCUCCCAUU